This 253-nucleotide ribosomal RNA is filed under the name uncultured bacterium. RNAcentral describes it as "partial 16S ribosomal RNA". It matches the Rfam family "Bacterial small subunit ribosomal RNA", at positions 524 to 776 of the family's 1533-position model. The record is from RNAcentral.
UACGGAGGGGGCUAGCGUUGUUCGGAAUUACUGGGCGUAAAGCGCACGUAGGCGGCUUUGUAAGUUAGAGGUGAAAGCCCGGGGCUCAACCCCGGAAUAGCCUUUAAGACUGCAUCGCUUGAACACGGGAGAGGUGAGUGGAAUUCCGAGUGUAGAGGUGAAAUUCGUAGAUAUUCGGAAGAACACCAGUGGCGAAGGCGGCUCACUGGACCGUUGUUGACGCUAAGGUGCGAAAGCGUGGGGAGCAAACAGG